Molecule: long non-coding RNA, 239 nt
Filed under: Homo sapiens (human)
Lineage: Eukaryota; Metazoa; Chordata; Mammalia; Primates; Hominidae
Description: LNC_000387
Source: RNAcentral
CUGACGGAUCAUGUUCAGCAUACGUUCAUUUACGGGGUCCAACUGGCUGAUGAUAGCAGGUUGUUUGGUUACUUCAACAACCAAAGCCUCCAUGGCUGCCCGGAGACCAGUGAUACAGGCAGCAGCUUCAUGAGAUAUUUGCAGUUUAAUCCAGUCAUCUACAAGCACAAUCUGCCCAUCAGAUUGGACUUUCUUGGAGGCAAAGAGAAGCAACUGCAGGGGGGUGACUAAAGUCAUGC